This is a non-coding RNA of Pelobates cultripes (western spadefoot toad), 967 nucleotides long. The record is from the annotation of a GenBank genome assembly. Lineage: Eukaryota; Metazoa; Chordata; Amphibia; Anura; Pelobatidae.
UAAUGAGAAAAAUGACUGGGACAUAGCAAUACCAGAGUUCAUGGAUUGCAGGUUAAAACUUACAAGGAAAAGUUAAAGGAACUUAACAUGUAUAGCUUGGAGGAGAGACGAGACAGGGGGGAUAUGAUAGAAACAUUUAAAUACAUAAAGGGAAUUGUAAGGAAACCAAGUAUAUUUAAACCUCAUUCUGUAGUUUCCUCCCGAACCGCCAGAGCCUUAGUGAUUAUAGCCCUCCGUUCGGUAGAUAGAAUAGACAAACCAUAUAGUAAUCCCAAUAGCUUCACAAGAAGAUUCCCUUAGUGAAACACACGAAUCCCCAAACAUCAGCCGAAGUCAAGAAGAAGGAACGGAACUACCGAACGGACGGCCACCCAGAAGAGAAGUGGGCUGCUGGUUAACCUAUUGAUCCCAAUUAGAACAUUGCGGUUGACCACAGACACUUCUCAAUUAAAACCGAAUACAGGGUGGUCGUUGUUCGUAUGUCGACCACGAGGCGGCGGCCAUUUUAACUAUGCGAAAGCCCAGCGGUGCUCGAUUAUUUCAUGGAACUAAAAACGGACACUUUUUCAACCGAACACUGCUGAAGCCGUCGACCUCCCCUUCUCAAUCGACAAAAGUAUAUGAAUACCGGCCGUUCGAGAGAUUUAAAGACACGAAUGGACUUAACCCAGAUAGCCUUCCCAUGGAGUCAAUCGCAUACCGAAGAACUGUAAUAGACUUUGACUCCAUGGCGAUUGAACUGUGCGUAUGGGAUCUAAGCGCUAUUCGCCAAUAAUAUGCACUCAGAUCCAGGCUAUCUGGGGAUGUGCUAUACGAAUGCAAUACGUUCAGCAGUUAUAAAGUUCUGUAUUUUAAUGUGUUUUGUAACUUUGAGUUAAAAUGGCGAUUUGCCUCUGCUCUGGGAGAUAAUUGAAUUACUUCCCAAUUAUCUACCGAGCAGAGGGGAGGAAACUGUGAUGCAUGCUGG